This 440-nucleotide ribosomal RNA is filed under the name uncultured bacterium. RNAcentral's name for it is "partial 16S ribosomal RNA". It matches the Rfam family "Bacterial small subunit ribosomal RNA", at positions 338 to 795 of the family's 1533-position model. The record is from RNAcentral.
CCUACGGGAGGCAGCAGUGGGGAAUAUUGCACAAUGGGGGAAACCCUGAUGCAGCGACGCCGCGUGAGUGAAGAAGUAAUUCGUUAUGUAAAGCUCUAUCAGCAGGGAAGAAAAUGACGGUACCUGAGUAAGAAGCCCCGUCUAACUACGUGCCAGCAGCCGCGGCAAUACGCAGGGGGCAAGCGUUAUCCGGAUUUACUGGGUGUAAAGGGAGCGUAGGCGGUGCAGCAAGUCAGAAGUGAAAGCCCGGGGCUCAACUCCGGGACUGCUUUUGAAACUGUUGAACUAGAUUGCAGGAGAGGUAAGUGGAAUUCCUGGUGUAGCGGUGAAAUGCGUAGAUAUUAGGAGGAACACCGGUGGCGAAGGCGGCUUACUGGACUGUAAAUGACGCUGAGGCUCGAAAGCGUGGGGAGCAAACAGGAUUAGAUACCCUUGUAGUC